CGCUUGCCCAACUCCAUCUAAUCUCUCUUCUCUAUCCUUCUUUGUCAUAGAGCAUUCGAGCUCUUUCACUUCUUGUUGUUCUAAAAUUAAAAUCCAAAAUUCAUCUUCUGCUAUUGUUUCUUUGUGGUUUCUAUGAUUAAUAAAGUCCCCCGACUUGGGAAAUUAAUCAAUUUCAUGGCUGUCUUCGGUGUUUAACUUUCUCAAUAGAGGAAAGGCAGUUGUUCCUCUAUUCUACCCAACAUCCAUGAUAUUUUUAAUGAGAUGCUCAGAGAUGCGGGUUUUAAUGAAGUUGUGGCCGAGGAUUGUACUGAACAAUUCAUUGGAGUUCUCCAAAAGGAGUUAGAUACUGUGGAGAAGGAAAGAGAGUCAUUUAUCCACGAGUUCUCUGAACAAGACUAUAAAGAAAUAGUCAGAGGUUGGAAGGCCAAGAUAAUCAGGAGUUCUUCUGGUGAGUAGAGGACCUCAAUCUAUUAUAUUAUAACUGUAGAUCGCAGAAAAAGGCAAGCACCUUAUGCUGGAGCAUUCUUUGGAAGAUGAGCAACGCUAAUCGUAAUGUUUUGUCUGCUCAAAUACAAAGAAGACGUUUAUGAGCUCAAAGGAAAAGCUUUAUUUGACGUUCUUCAUGAAAUUGUGUGUGUUUGUUCAGGUUCAUUAUUACUGCUUUGCUAAUUAUGUUGCUUUACGCAACCCCAAGGAAUUGUUGGGGUUACUUUGGUGAGUAAUGAGAUUGCUCUAUUUUAUGGGAUAUUUAGGUUUGUGGAAUUUGUUAUUGAUGAACUACAAUUAAAGAAAUCGGAUGAGUGGGAUAAGUCCAAAUGUGUAAGAAAUGAAAUGGAUUUUGAGUUGCACCACACGUAAUUCAAAACUGGGUGUAACAUGACUAGGUUGAUGUUUUGGGAAGUGUAACUCUUUAAAAUUAUAGUAAUGUGUAACUAAGUUGCAAGUAUUUUAUUUAAAAAUUUCGGAGGUUAAUUUGGUAAGUUUAUUGUC
Long non-coding RNA from Nicotiana attenuata, 990 nucleotides. RefSeq lists it as uncharacterized. NCBI's taxonomy places the organism in Eukaryota, Viridiplantae, Streptophyta, Magnoliopsida, Solanales, Solanaceae. The record is from RefSeq and is a predicted model, not a curated record. The transcript has 3 exons.